Molecule: long non-coding RNA, 428 nt
Filed under: Populus trichocarpa (black cottonwood)
Lineage: Eukaryota; Viridiplantae; Streptophyta; Magnoliopsida; Malpighiales; Salicaceae
Description: long non-coding RNA (PTRI_LNC002112)
Source: RNAcentral
UGCUUCCUCUUCUUCUUCAUCUCUAAUCAGAAAGGCCCGUCUCUCUCCUUACCUCUUCACUUUAUUAGCCUUCAUUGUCUUUGUUGCCAUCCUUUAUGGCGAGGACUUCGUGUGCCUCCUUGGCCAACUUGACCCCAACGUGGACCGGCUAGCAACCAUAACCGGUGAGUUGAGUCCAUCGGUGGAUAUCAAAUUUUAACUCUCUUUAUUCAUAUAUAAUUUCUUCUUUUUAAAAAGAAAAAAAAUGUUUUCGUGUAAAAAUGUGUGGUUUACUGAGAUGGCCGUUCAUGUCAUGUUUUGGGGUUAGAGAAGAGGUGGGAGAAGCUACCUUUCUCAAUAGGGAAGGCCCCAGAUGGUUGUGACUUGUUUAGUGGGAGGUGGGUGUGGGACGAUUCAACUCGGCCUCUUUACGAAGAAUCGGAGUGUCC